Molecule: unclassified non-coding RNA, 343 nt
Filed under: soil metagenome
Description: partial contains 5.8S ribosomal RNA, internal transcribed spacer 2, and large subunit ribosomal RNA
Rfam family: 5.8S ribosomal RNA (bases 1-120)
Source: RNAcentral
GAUGAAGAACGUAGCGAAAUGCGAUAAGUAAUGUGAAUUGCAGAAUUCAGUGAAUCAUCGAGUUUUUGAACGCAUAUUGCGCCCUCUGGUAUUCCGGGGGGCAUGCCUGUUCGAGCGUCAUUAAAUAACCCUCAAGCAUAGCUUGGUGUUGGGCUUUUCUACGUCCUUGACUGGGAUGGGCCUAAAAAUUAGUGGCGAUGGCUUUUUUACUUUCAAGCGUAGUAAAUCUCGUCUUGCUAAAGAGGAAAAAGAUUUUUUUUCUGCCAAAAAUUUUAACAUUUAAAGUUGACCUCGGAUCAGGUAGGAUUACCCGCUGAACUUAAGCAUAUCAAUAAGCGGAGGA